UAUAUUUUUGGAGCAAGAUAAUUGGUUAUUUUUCCUGUCAGUCAGAACUCUUGAGAAGUGGGUGGAGCUAGCAGCUGCGUUGUGAGCAGCAGGGGGGCAGCAGGAGAGAGAGAGAGAAGGAGCGAGAACUAAGCAGAGUCAGCCAUGCAGCACAGGAGCUGUUUGUGCUCAAUAUAAGUCCAAAAUGUGGCUAACGGCCAGUUUAAACCACUUGUGUGACUUUUUGUGACAUCUUUGAUGAGGACACGGACAGUGUUUCUGACGAGCCCAGUGAGCUACAUAGAGCUUGAGAGCUGACGAGGGAGCUGUUUCAUGACUUCUUGGCUGUUCCACCAUUCCAUGAGCAUCGCUCUCAGCCUAAACUUCUACUAGACUGCCUAAACUACUGCCAGACUGCCUAAACUACAACUUCGCUGAUUCUACGUCGUCCUGCUUUCACCAGACACCCAGAACAUUCUCUAGAGAGGUCGUGAGUACUGAGUGUGCACAAACAAAUAUUUUAUUUUGCUUACUUUAAGUAAGUGAAGCGGCUAUUAAAGUUUUGAGCCUCACCGUACCCAAGCCACGACUCAGGCCUGCAACUUUUUGUUUCUUUUAUUUUUCUAUUACUUUUCUGAGUGUGUGUGAGUGUGCGUGUGUGGGCCCACAAGUUAGGUAUUUCUUUGUUUAUUUGUUCAGAGCUGUUACAUUUUUUGGAUAAUAUUUUGGGUUAAAUUAUUGUUAAUUAGUAUACUGGAUAAGCUGCAACACAUAUGUCUAAAACCUGUGAUACCUGAUCUGCCAAAAUUCAUACAAUAAUCUGAGUAAAAGAAAGGUAGCUAAGCAUUAAAACUCAUUUUUUUGGUUAAUAGAGUGUUCAUUUCAUUAAGUACUGGUUAUUUAUUUAUUUAUAUUUCUUUAUUUUCCUUUUUGAAUAAUCUCUAUUAAAAUAGGCUGAGUGUGUGAAACGGAGAGAUUUCUAAAAAAUAGAGUAUACUAAGUCUACUUAUUUUGUUUAUACAAAAUUUGAAAUGCAUUAGUCUGUACCAAUAAUCAUUGGGACCCAGGGCCCUGCCUUUAAUACAUAAGUGGUUAGGCAGGGUGUUACACAUACAU
This is a long non-coding RNA of Astyanax mexicanus (Mexican tetra), 1095 nucleotides long. RefSeq lists it as uncharacterized. NCBI's taxonomy places the organism in Eukaryota, Metazoa, Chordata, Actinopteri, Characiformes, Acestrorhamphidae. The record is from RefSeq and is a predicted model, not a curated record. The transcript is spliced from 2 exons.